This 233-nucleotide unclassified non-coding RNA is filed under the name Hevea brasiliensis (rubber tree). Lineage: Eukaryota; Viridiplantae; Streptophyta; Magnoliopsida; Malpighiales; Euphorbiaceae. The record is from RNAcentral.
AUUUUUGGCAAGUGUUUUGAAUUUGCAGAUGGAAGAUGGUCUUGGCAAGCAGAUAGAGACAGUAGUCUUUUUGGCUGCCGUUCAAAUGAGUAUACCGCUGAACUCAUGGAAACACCAACCUCAGUAUUGCGAGACCACCCAUUGGAUGAUCGAAGCCAAACUCUUCUUCAGCUCGAGUUAACAAGUCUUAAAAUAAAGGCUGGCUCAACUGCAGGAAAUCUUCACAACGCGUU